CCUGGCUUAGGAUGAACGCUGGCGGCGUGCUUAAUACAUGCAAGUCGAACGAAGCACUUACAGCCGAUCCCUUCGGGGUGAAGCAGUUUGUGACUUAGUGGCGGACGGGUGAGUAACGCGUGGGUAACCUGCCUUAUGCAGGGGGAUAACAGUUAGAAAUGACUGCUAAUACCGCAUAAGCGCACGGCACCGCAUGGUGCAGUGUGAAAAGAUUUAUCGGCAUAAGAUGGACCCGCGUCUGAUUAGGUAGUUGGUGAGGUAACGGCCCACCAAGCCUACGAUCAGUAGCCGACUUGAGAGAGUGAUCGGCCACAUUGGGACUGAGACACGGCCCAGACUCCUACGGGAGGCAGCAGUAGGGAAUAUUGCACAAUGGGGGAAACCCUGAUGCAGCGACGCCCGCGUGAGUGAUUGAAGCAUUUCGGUGCGUAAAGCUCUAUCAGCAGGGAAGAUAAUGACGGUACCUGACUAAGAAGCCCCGGCUAACUACGUGCCAGCAGCUGC
RNAcentral lists this ribosomal RNA (504 nucleotides) under uncultured bacterium. RNAcentral's name for it is "bacterial SSU rRNA". It matches the Rfam family "Bacterial small subunit ribosomal RNA", at positions 18 to 518 of the family's 1533-position model. The record is from RNAcentral.